This 459-nucleotide ribosomal RNA is filed under the name uncultured bacterium. Its description in RNAcentral is "partial 16S ribosomal RNA". It matches the Rfam family "Bacterial small subunit ribosomal RNA", at positions 338 to 795 of the family's 1533-position model. The record is from RNAcentral.
CCUACGGGAGGCAGCAGUGAGGAAUAUUGGUCAAUGGGAGAGAUCCUGAACCAGCCAAGCCGCGUGAGGGAAGACGGCCCUAUGGGUUGUAAACCUCUUUUGUCGGAGAACAAAACCCGGGACGUGUCCCGGACUGCGUGUAUCCGAAGAAAAAGCAUCGGCUAACUCCGUGCCAGCAGCCGCGGUAAUACGGAGGAUGCGAGCGUUAUCCGGAUUUAUUGGGUUAACAGGGUGCGUAGGCGGUCCGUUAAGUCAGCGGUAAAAUGGCGGGGCUCAACCCCGUCGAGCCGUUGAAACUGGCAGACUUGAGUUGGCGAGAAGUACGCGGAAUGCGCGGUGUAGCGGUGAAAUGCAUAGAUAUCGCGCAGAACUCCGAUUGCGAAGGCAGCGUACCGGCGCCAGACUGACGCUGAGGCACGAAAGCGUGGGGAUCGAACAGGAUUAGAUACCCUUGUAGUC